AUUGAACGCUGGCGGCAGGCCUAACACAUGCAAGUCGAGCGGUAGCACAGAGAGCUUGCUCUCGGGUGACGAGCGGCGGACGGGUGAGUAAUGUCUGGGAAACUGCCUGAUGGAGGGGGAUAACUACUGGAAACGGUAGCCAAUACCGCAUAACGUCGCAAGACCAAAGAGGGGGACCUUCGGGCCUCUUGCCACCAGAUGGGCCAAGAUGGGAUUAGCUAGUAGGUGGGGUAACGGCUCACCUAGGCGACGAUCCCUAGCUGGUCUGAGAGGAUGACCAGCCACACUGGAACUGAGACACGGUCCAGACUCCUACGGGAGGCAGCAGUGGGGAAUAUUGCACAAUGGGCGCAAGCCUGAUGCAGCCAUGCCGCGUGUAUGAAGAAGGCCUUCGGGUUGUAAAGUACUUUCAGCGGGGAGGAAGGCGGUGGGGUUAAUAACCUCAUCGAUUGACGUUACCCGCAGAAGAAGCACCGGCUAACUCCGUGCCAGCAGCCGCCGUAA
Molecule: ribosomal RNA, 504 nt
Filed under: uncultured bacterium
Lineage: Bacteria
Description: partial 16S ribosomal RNA
Rfam family: Bacterial small subunit ribosomal RNA
Source: RNAcentral